This 666-nucleotide ribosomal RNA is filed under the name uncultured Eubacteriales bacterium. RNAcentral describes it as "bacterial SSU rRNA". It matches the Rfam family "Bacterial small subunit ribosomal RNA", at positions 70 to 753 of the family's 1533-position model. Lineage: Bacteria; Bacillati; Bacillota; Clostridia; Eubacteriales. The record is from RNAcentral.
GAAGUUUUCGGACGGAUUAAUACUUAGUGGCGGACGGGUGAGUAACGCGUGGGUAACCUGCCUCAUACAGGGGGAUAACAGUUGGAAACGGCUGCUAAAACCGCAUAAGCAUACAUUGUCGCAUGACAGAGUGUGAAAAUAUUUAUAGGUAUGAGAUGGGCCCGCGUCUGAUUAGCUAGUUGGUAAGGUAACGGCUUACCAAGGCGACGAUCAGUAGCCGGCUUGAGAGAGUGACCGGCCACAUUGGGACUGAGACACGGCCCAAACUCCUACGGGAGGCAGCAGUGGGGAAUAUUGCACGAUGGGGGAAACCCUGAUGCAGCGACGCCGCGUGAGUGAAGAAGUAUUUCGGUAUGUAAAGCUCUAUCAGCAGGGACGAUAAUGACGGUACCUGACUAAGAAGCCCCGGCUAACUACGUGCCAGCAGCCGCGGUAAUACGUAGGGGGCAAGCGUUAUCCGGAUUUACUGGGUGUAAAGGGAGCGUAGGUGGUAUGGUAAGUCAGGUGUGAAAGCCCGGGGCUCAACUCCGGGAUUGCAUUUGAAACUACCAGACUAGAGUGCAGGAGAGGUAAGUGGAAUUCCUAGUAUAGCGGUGAAAUGCGUAGAUAUUAGGAGGAACACCAGUGGCGAAGGCGGCUUACUGGACUGUAACUGACACUGAGGCU